UGAUCCUGGCUCAGGAUGAACGCUAGCGGCAGGCUUAACACAUGCAAGUCGAGGGGUAACAGGGAUUGCUUGCAAUCCGCUGACGACCGGCGCACGGGUGCGUAACGCGUAUGCAACCUACCUUUUACAAGGGGAUAGCCCAGAGAAAUUUGGAAUAAUACCCUAUACGAUCAUUAAUUGGCAUCAAUUAAUGAAGAAAACUCCGGUGGUAAAAGAUGGGCAUGCGUCCUAUUAGUUAGUUGGUAAGGUAACGGCUUACCAAGACUUCGAUAGGUAGGGGUCCUGAGAGGGAGAUCCCCCACACUGGUACUGAGACACGGACCAGACUCCUACGGGAGGCAGCAGUGAGGAAUAUUGGACAAUGGAGGCAACUCUGAUCCAGCCAUGCCGCGUGCAGGAAGACGGCCCUACGGGUUGUAAACUGCUUUUAUACAGGAAGAACUAUAUCUACGUGUAGAUAUUUGACGGUACUGUACGAAUAAGGAUCGGCUAACUCCGUGCCAGCAGCCGCGGUAAUACGGAGGAUCCAAGCGUUAUCCGGAAUCAUUGGGUUUAAAGGGUCCGUAGGCGGUCUAAUAAGUCAGAGGUGAAAUCCUACAGCUCAACUGUAGCAUUGCCUUUGAUACUGUUAGACUUGAGUUAUUGUGAAGUAGUUAGAAUGUGUAGUGUAGCGGUGAAAUGCAUAGAUAUUACACAGAAUACCGAUUGCGAAGGCAGAUUACUAACAAUAUACUGACGCUGAGGGACGAAAGCGUGGGUAGCGAACAGGAUUAGAUACCCUGGUAGU
This 787-nucleotide ribosomal RNA is filed under the name uncultured marine bacterium. RNAcentral describes it as "bacterial SSU rRNA". It matches the Rfam family "Bacterial small subunit ribosomal RNA", at positions 14 to 794 of the family's 1533-position model. The record is from RNAcentral.